GCUGGGAGAGAGAAGAGUGAGCAGCAGCCCUGCAGCCCCCCAGGUGAGUGCAGCAGGAGGGCAGGAGGUGCUCCAGGCAGGCAGCAGCAGUUCCCCUGUGGCCUGUGGAGGGGCCCCUGGUGGAGCAGGCUGUCCCCCUGCAGCCCAUGGGUCCCACAUGGAUCAGAUCUCCACGCUGCAGCCCCCCCAUGGGUGGAGGAGCCCCCGGUGGAGCAGGUGGAUGUGGCCUGGAGGAGGCUGCGGCCCAUGGAGAGCCCCCGCAGGAGCAGGCCCCGGGCCGGAGCUGCAGUCCGUGGAGAGGAGCCCACGCAAGAGCAGGGAGUCUGGGGGGAGCUGCCGCCCACCCGUGGGGGACCCGUGCUGGAGCAGUUUGCUCCUGGGGGAUGGAUGGACCCCGUGGGAUGGAGCCGUGUGGGAGCAGGUGGAUGUGGCCUGGAGGAGGCUGCGGCCCAUGGAGAGCCCCCGCAGGAGCAGGCCCCGGGCCGGAGCUGCAGCCCGUGGAGAGGAGCCCCCGCAGGAGCAGGGGGUCUGGGGGGAGCUGCCGCCCACCCGUGGGGGACCCGUGCUGGAGCAGUUUGCUCCUGGGGAUGAUGGAUGGACCCCGUGGGAUGGAGCUGUGUGGGAGCAGUGCUUGAAGAGCUGCUGCCUGUGGGCAGCCCCCGCAGGCUCAGUUGGGGAAGGACGGCAUCCAUGGGAGGGACCCCACGGGGAGCAGGGGCAGAGAGGGACCGAGAAAGAGCAGCAGAGAUGAAGCAUCAGGGACUGACCACAGCCCCCAUUCCCUGUUCCUCUGCACUGCUUAGUGGAAGGAGGGAGAAGAGGGUAGAUAGAGAGAAGGUGUUUUUAGUUUGAAUUUUUAGUUUCUCACUGCUCUAUCAUGUAAGUACUGGUUAAUAAAUGACAUGAAUCUCCCUAUGCUGAGUCUGUUUUGCCCAUGAUGGUAAUUGUUGAGUGAUCUCCCUGUCCUUAUCUCAAUCUUUUAGCCCAUUUCAUCGUAUUUUCUCCCCAUUUGCCUUUAAUGGUGGUUGUGAUGGAGUUCAGCUGCUGAUCUGAGAAAAACCAACACACAUGCUAUGAAGAAACCACAAUAU
This 1091-nucleotide long non-coding RNA is filed under the name Anas zonorhyncha (Eastern spot-billed duck). RNAcentral describes it as "lncRNA (ENSAZOG00000001889.1)". The record is from RNAcentral. Lineage: Eukaryota; Metazoa; Chordata; Aves; Anseriformes; Anatidae.